CUCGAAUCAGAUAGAGUUACCCGCUGAAUUUAAGCAUAUCAAUAAGUGGAGGAA
RNAcentral lists this ribosomal RNA (54 nucleotides) under Lophodermium sp. T37. Its description in RNAcentral is "partial 28S ribosomal RNA". The record is from RNAcentral. Lineage: Eukaryota; Fungi; Ascomycota; Leotiomycetes; Rhytismatales; Rhytismataceae.